RNAcentral lists this ribosomal RNA (921 nucleotides) under uncultured bacterium. RNAcentral describes it as "bacterial SSU rRNA". It matches the Rfam family "Bacterial small subunit ribosomal RNA", at positions 69 to 987 of the family's 1533-position model. The record is from RNAcentral.
GCAGCGCGGGGCAACCUGGCGGCGAGUGGCGAACGGGUGAGUAAUAUAUCGGAACGUGCCCUGGAGUGGGGGAUAACGCAGCGAAAGUUGCGCUAAUACCGCAUACGAUCUAAGGAUGAAGGCGGGGGAUUCGCAAGAACCUCGUGCUCCUGGAGCGGCCGAUAUCUGAUUAGCUAGUUGGUGGGGUAAAGGCCUACCAAGGCAUCGAUCAGUAGCUGGUCUGAGAGGACGACCAGCCACACUGGAACUGAGACACGGUCCAGACUCCUACGGGAGGCAGCAGUGGGGAAUUUUGGACAAUGGGCGAAAGCCUGAUCCAGCAAUGCCGCGUGAGUGAAGAAGGCCUUCGGGUUGUAAAGCUCUUUUGUCAGGGAAGAAACGGUGAAGGCUAAUAUCCUUUGCUAAUGACGGUACCUGAAGAAUAAGCACCGGCUAACUACGUGCCAGCAGCCGCGGUAAUACGUAGGGUGCAAGCGUUAAUCGGAAUUACUGGGCGUAAAGCGUGCGCAGGCGGUUUUGUAAGUCUGUCGUGAAAUCCCCGGGCUCAACCUGGGAAUUGCGAUGGAGACUGCAAGGCUAGAAUCUGGCAGAGGGGGGUAGAAUUCCACGUGUAGCAGUGAAAUGCGUAGAGAUGUGGAGGAACACCGAUGGCGAANGCAGCCCCCUGGGUCAAGAUUGACGCUCAUGCACGAAAGCGUGGGGAGCAAACAGGAUUAGAUACCCUGNUAGUCCACGCCCUAAACGAUGUCUACUAGUUGUCGGGUUUUAAUUAACUUGGUAACGCANCUNACGCGUGAAGUAGACCGCCUGGGGAGUACGGUCGCAAGAUUAAAACUCAAGGAAUUGACGGGGACCCGCACAAGCGGUGGNNGAUGUGNAUUAAUUCNAUGCAACGCGAAAAACCUUACCUACCCUUGACNU